This 258-nucleotide ribosomal RNA is filed under the name uncultured bacterium. RNAcentral's name for it is "partial 16S ribosomal RNA". It matches the Rfam family "Bacterial small subunit ribosomal RNA", at positions 524 to 776 of the family's 1533-position model. The record is from RNAcentral.
UACGUAGGGUGCAAGCGUUGUCCGGAAUUAUUGGGCGUAAAGAGCUCGUAGGCGGUUUUGUCGCGUCUGCUGUGAAAAACCCGAGGCUCAAACCUCGGGCCGCAGUGGGUACGGGCAGACUAGAGUGCGGUAGGGGGAGAUUGGAAUUCCUGGUGUAGCGGUGGAAUGCGCAGAUAUCAGGAGGAACACCAAUGGCGAAGGCAGAUCUCUGGGCCGUAACUGACGCUGAGGAGCGAAAAGCAUGGGGGAGCGAACAGG